AGUGAACGCUGGCGGUAGGCCUAACACAUGCAAGUCGAACGGCAGCACAGUAAGAGCUUGCUCUUACGGGUGGCGAGUGGCGGACGGGUGAGGAAUACAUCGGAAUCUACUUUUUCGUGGGGGAUAACGUAGGGAAACUUACGCUAAUACCGCAUACGACCUACGGGUGAAAGCAGGGGAUCUUCGGACCUUGCGCGAUUGAAUGAGCCGAUGUCGGAUUAGCUAGUUGGCGGGGUAAAGGCCCACCAAGGCGACGAUCCGUAGCUGGUCUGAGAGGAUGAUCAGCCACACUGGAACUGAGACACGGUCCAGACUCCUACGGGAGGCAGCAGUGGGGAAUAUUGGACAAUGGGCGCAAGCCUGAUCCAGCCAUACCGCGUGGGUGAAGAAGGCCUUCGGGUUGUAAAGCCCUUUUGUUGGGAAAGAAAUCCAGCCGGCUAAUACCUGGUUGGGAUGACGGUACCCAAAGAAUAAGCGCCGGCUAACUUCGUG
RNAcentral lists this ribosomal RNA (492 nucleotides) under uncultured bacterium. RNAcentral describes it as "partial 16S ribosomal RNA". It matches the Rfam family "Bacterial small subunit ribosomal RNA", at positions 29 to 507 of the family's 1533-position model. The record is from RNAcentral.